UGAGCAAUCUGCCCUUCACAUCGGAAUAACCAUUGGAAACGAUGGCUAAUACCGAAUAUGACUUCGGAUCGCAUGAUCAGAAGUGGAAAGCUCCGGCGGUGAAGGAUGAGCUCGCGGCCUAUCAGCUUGUUGGUGAGGUAAUAGCUCACCAAGGCGAUGACGGGUAGCCGGCCUGAGAGGGUGACCGGCCACACUGGGACUGUGACACCGGCA
RNAcentral lists this ribosomal RNA (213 nucleotides) under uncultured bacterium. RNAcentral's name for it is "partial 16S ribosomal RNA". It matches the Rfam family "Bacterial small subunit ribosomal RNA", at positions 118 to 332 of the family's 1533-position model. The record is from RNAcentral.